AUUGAACGCUGGCGGCAGGCCUAACACAUGCAAGUCGAGCGGAGCGGCGGACGGGGAAGUAAUGACUAGGAAUCUGCCUGGGAUUGGGGGAUCACGUCAGGAAACGGGCGCUAAUACCGCAUACUAUCAGAUGAGCCUAGGACGGAUUGGCUAGUUGGUGGGGUAAAGGCAUACCAAGGCGACGAUCCGUAACUGGUCUGAGAGGAUGAUCAGUCACACUGGAACUGAGACACGGUCCAGACUCCUACGGGAGGCAGCAGUGGGGAAUAUUGGACAAUGGGCGAAAGCCUGAUCCAGCCAGGCCGCGUGUGUGAAGAAGGUCUUCGGAUUGUAAAGCACUUUAAGUUGGGAGGCGUUACCAACAGAAUAAGCACCGGCUAACUUCGUGCCAGCAGCCGCGGUAAUUC
This 407-nucleotide ribosomal RNA is filed under the name uncultured bacterium. Its description in RNAcentral is "partial 16S ribosomal RNA". It matches the Rfam family "Bacterial small subunit ribosomal RNA", at positions 30 to 526 of the family's 1533-position model. The record is from RNAcentral.